CAGUAGCCGCGGGAAAACGUAGGGUGCAAGCGUUAAUCGGAAUUACUGGGCGUAAAGCGUGCGCAGGCGGUCCGCUAAGACAGAUGUGAAAUCCCCGGGCUUAACCUGGGAACUGCAUUUGUGACUGGCGGGCUAGAGUAUGGCAGAGGGGGGUAGAAUUCCACGUGUAGCAGUGAAAUGCGUAGAGAUGUGGAGGAAUACCGAUGGCGAAGGCAGCCCCCUGGGCCAAUACUGACGCUCAUGCACGAAAGCGUGGGGAGCAAACAGGAUUAGAUACCCCGGUAGUCCCUGUCUCUUAUAC
RNAcentral lists this ribosomal RNA (301 nucleotides) under uncultured bacterium. RNAcentral's name for it is "partial 16S ribosomal RNA". It matches the Rfam family "Bacterial small subunit ribosomal RNA", at positions 509 to 807 of the family's 1533-position model. The record is from RNAcentral.